GAUGAGCGCUGGCGGCGUGCCUAAUACAUGCAAGUCGAGCGAACAGAUGAGGAGCUUGCUCCUCUGACGUUAGCGGCGGACGGGUGAGUAACACGUGGAUAACCUACCUAUAAGACUGGGAUAACUUCGGGAAACCGGAGCUAAUACCGGAUAAUAUAUUGAACCGCAUGGUUCAAUAGUGAAAGACGGUUUUGCUGUCACUUAUAGAUGGAUCCGCGCCGCUUUAGCUAGUUGGUAAGGUAACGGCUUACCAAGGCAACGAUGCGUAGCCGACCUGAGAGGGUGAUCGGCCACACUGGAACUGAGACACGGUCCAGACUCCUACGGGAGGCAGCAGUAGGGAAUCUUCCGCAAUGGGCGAAAGCCUGACGGAGCAACGCCGCGUGAGUGAUGAAGGUCUUCGGAUCGUAAAACUCUGUUAUUAGGGAAGAACAAAUGUGUAAGUAACUAUGCACGUCUUGACGGUACCUAAUCAGAAAGCCACGGCUAACUACGUG
This 497-nucleotide ribosomal RNA is filed under the name uncultured bacterium. RNAcentral's name for it is "partial 16S ribosomal RNA". It matches the Rfam family "Bacterial small subunit ribosomal RNA", at positions 28 to 507 of the family's 1533-position model. The record is from RNAcentral.